RNAcentral lists this ribosomal RNA (731 nucleotides) under uncultured fungus. RNAcentral describes it as "SSU rRNA". It matches the Rfam family "Eukaryotic small subunit ribosomal RNA", at positions 332 to 1067 of the family's 1831-position model. Lineage: Eukaryota; Fungi. The record is from RNAcentral.
GAUAGAGGCCUACCAUGGUGGUAACGGGUAACGGGGUGUUAGGGCACGACACCGGAGAGGGAGCCUGAGAAACGGCUACCACAUCCAAGGAUGGCAGCAGGCGCGCAAAUUACCCAAUCCCGACACGGGGAGGUAGUGACAAUAAAUAACAAUACGGGGUUCUUUCGGAUCUCGUAAUUGGAAUGAGUACAAUUUAAAUCUCUUAACGAGGAACAAUUGGAGGGCAAGUCUGGUGCCAGCAGCCGCGGUAAUUCCAGCUCCAAUAGCGUAUAUUAAAGUUGUUGCAGUUAAAAAGCUCGUAGUUGAAUUUCGGGGUUAGUAGGUUGGUCAUGCCUCUGGUAUGUACUGGUCUCACUGAUUCCUCCUUCCUUAUGAACCGUAAUGCCAUUAAUUUGGUGUUGCGGGGAAUUUGGACUGUUACUUUGAAAAAAUUAGAGUGUUUAAAGCAAGCUAACGCUUGAAUACACUAGCAUGGAAUAAUGAAAUAGGACGUUCGAUCUUACUUUGUUGGUUUCUAGGAUUGACGUAAUGAUUAAUAGGGAUAGUUGGGGGCAUUAGUAUUCAAUUGUCAGAGGUGAAAUUCUUGGAUUUAUUGAAGACUAACUACUGCGAAAGCAUUUGCCAAGGAUGUUUUCAUUAAUCAAGAACGAAAGUUAGGGGAUCGAAGACGAUCAGAUACCGUCGUAGUCUUAACCAUAAACUAUGCCGACUAGGGAUCGGAUGAUGUAAUU